This 625-nucleotide ribosomal RNA is filed under the name Salmonella enterica. Its description in RNAcentral is "partial 23S ribosomal RNA". It matches the Rfam family "Bacterial large subunit ribosomal RNA", at positions 2178 to 2802 of the family's 2925-position model. RNAcentral also lists the same sequence under 8 other names. The record is from RNAcentral. Lineage: Bacteria; Pseudomonadati; Pseudomonadota; Gammaproteobacteria; Enterobacterales; Enterobacteriaceae.
GCAUGGAGCCGACCUUGAAAUACCACCCUUUAAUGUUUGAUGUUCUAACGUGGACCCGUAAUCCGGGUUGCGGACAGUGUCUGGUGGGUAGUUUGACUGGGGCGGUCUCCUCCUAAAGAGUAACGGAGGAGCACGAAGGUUGGCUAAUCCUGGUCGGACAUCAGGAGGUUAGUGCAAUGGCAUAAGCCAGCUUGACUGCGAGCGUGACGGCGCGAGCAGGUGCGAAAGCAGGUCAUAGUGAUCCGGUGGUUCUGAAUGGAAGGGCCAUCGCUCAACGGAUAAAAGGUACUCCGGGGAUAACAGGCUGAUACCGCCCAAGAGUUCAUAUCGACGGCGGUGUUUGGCACCUCGAUGUCGGCUCAUCACAUCCUGGGGCUGAAGUAGGUCCCAAGGGUAUGGCUGUUCGCCAUUUAAAGUGGUACGCGAGCUGGGUUUAGAACGUCGUGAGACAGUUCGGUCCCUAUCUGCCGUGGGCGCUGGAGAACUGAGGGGGGCUGCUCCUAGUACGAGAGGACCGGAGUGGACGCAUCACUGGUGUUCGGGUUGUCAUGCCAAUGGCACUGCCCGGUAGCUAAAUGCGGAAGAGAUAAGUGCUGAAAGCAUCUAAGCACGAAACUUGCCCCGA